RNAcentral lists this transfer RNA (73 nucleotides) under Zea mays. It matches the Rfam family "tRNA". Rfam says of the family: Transfer RNA (tRNA) molecules are approximately 80 nucleotides in length. Their secondary structure includes four short double-helical elements and three loops (D, anti-codon, and T loops). Lineage: Eukaryota; Viridiplantae; Streptophyta; Magnoliopsida; Poales; Poaceae. The record is from Rfam by way of RNAcentral.
GCUUGUCUAGCUCAGUUGGCAGAGCGCAAGGCUUUUAACCUUAAGGUCGUGGGUUCGAGCCCCACUGUGAACA